GUCACGUUUGUUUUACUCUUUGGAUGACAAACUUUCUCUCUGGUAGUGCCCUUUUAAAAUCUCCUUUUACAGUCCUCCAGGCCUUGGUGCAGGCUGCUUUAAAAGCCAGACAUCUCCCUGAGGACCCAGAGCAUGAUGGCAUACUUUGACAGGUACAACUUCUGACAACAUCUCAAGCCAUCAGGUAAAUAAGAGAAGUGAAUGUUCCCUUCAUAAAAAGGUUGUUUUUGAUGUUUAAAGCACCAUAUUCCAUUUCAUUAUGGCAAUGCUGGACAGACUUAAUGAAUGUUUAACUUUGAUCCUUCAGAUUUGAUGUGAGGAAUAUCAGAUCUCAAGAAAAGCGGUAGGAUUUGGAUCUGUAUUCAUCACAU
RNAcentral lists this long non-coding RNA (371 nucleotides) under Cyanistes caeruleus (blue tit). RNAcentral describes it as "lncRNA (ENSCCEG00000014762.1)". Lineage: Eukaryota; Metazoa; Chordata; Aves; Passeriformes; Paridae. The record is from RNAcentral.